This 1025-nucleotide long non-coding RNA is filed under the name Daucus carota (carrot). RNAcentral describes it as "long non-coding RNA (DCAR_LNC000406)". Lineage: Eukaryota; Viridiplantae; Streptophyta; Magnoliopsida; Apiales; Apiaceae. The record is from RNAcentral.
CCCAAACUUAAACGGAUGCUUGUCCUCAAGCGUCGACGACUCUACAAAAAUACAAUGCAAUGCAUGAAUGCAACUACGUGAUGAAUGAUCGAAUCAUGAAGCCAUUGCCUUGCUAAUUAUAAUACCUCAGAUUGUGCUAGUGUUCUCAACUUUCACUUCGCUCGCGACUAAAUUAAAUAUUCUUCUAUUACAAGUGUGGAGUGCCCGUGUGUGCAAGCAUGCUCUUUGAUUGAGACAAGAUAAAACUACUACUCCCCACAGAAUCCCAAUCAUGAACUGUAAAAGUUUAAAAACUAACACCCCGUCACUUAAGUCCACUAAAAGCCGAGGUCCCAAAGAAUGUCCACACCCUUCUAUUUUAUUCUACAUAUUAAAAUUUUUAUAUUGGUGAUUAAUAGCUCGGUCUAAGGUUAGGCGCUUCGCAGUGUAAAUGCGUUACGAACACCAUAAGACUUCACCCACCAAUUAUUCACUUUAUUCUAGUGGUUUAUUUAACCGUGCAAUGGUUGAGAUCCCUAAAGAUUUAUGCACUAGUACCCAUGUAGCGAGCGUUGGGUCAACAAUCCCAAACCACGAAGGGCUUUAGGUUGUUAGGCACAAAGUCCCCUCAGACUUAAUUACUCGAGUACUAAUGAGCUCAACCUAGUUAAUUCUACCACUUAUUUUCUAGUGAAUUUAUUGAUACUAUUUUUUCUUUUCUUUUUCUUUUUUUUUCUAUUUUUUUUCUUUUCUCUUUUAUCUCUUUUUUUUUUCUUUUAUUUUUCUAGAAAGGUAUAUCUACUCCUCAGUUCCCCCAAACUUAAGAUUUACAGACCUAAGCUGAAGGAUGUUCAAUUCAAUCCUAGAAUUCAAGGAAAUUCGUCUAAAUCCUAUCUCAAGAACAUAUGUGAAUUACAAUUUCCAACACAAGUAACUUCCAAAUAUUAACCUAGUAUUGCAAUUGAAAUUACUAAUCAAGAACUACGCACUUAACUCAUCAUAGGUAAUUAGCUUGGCUUAACUUCAUAAUUCAUGCAAAUGCUCGU